GUACACAAAAAUGCACAUAUUGUGAGCUCGAUGAGUAGGGCGGGACACGUGGUAUCCUGUCUGAAUAUGGGGGGACCAUCCUCCAAGGCUAAAUACUCCUGACUGACCGAUAGUGAACCAGUACCGUGAGGGAAAGGCGAAAAGAACCCCGGCGAGGGGAGUGAAAAAGAACCUGAAACCGUGUACGUACAAGCAGUGGGAGCCUCUUAAUGGGGUGACUGCGUACCUUUUGUAUAAUGGGUCAGCGACUUAUAUUCUGUAGCAAGGUUAACCGAAUAGGGGAGCCGAAGGGAAACCGAGUCUUAACUGGGCGUUAAGUUGCAGGGUAUAGACCCGAAACCCGGUGAUCUAGCCAUGGGCAGGUUGAAGGUUGGGUAACACUAACUGGAGGACCGAACCGACUAAUGUUGAAAAAUUAGCGGAUGACUUGUGGCUGGGGGUGAAAGGCCAAUCAAACCGGGAGAUAGCUGGUUCUCCCCGAAAGCUAUUUAGGUAGCGCCUCGUGAAUUCAUCUCCGGGGGUAGAGCACUGUUUCGGCAAGGGGGUCAUCCCGACUUACCAACCCGAUGCAAACUGCGAAUACCGGAGAAUGUUAUCACGGGAGACACACGGCGGGUGCUAACGUCCGUCGUGAAGAGGGAAACAACCCAGACCGCCAGCUAAGGUCCCAAAGUCAUGGUUAAGUGGGAAACGAUGUGGGAAGGCCCAGACAGCCAGGAUGUUGGCUUAGAAGCAGCCAUCAUUUAAAGAAAGCGUAAUAGCUCACUGGUCGAGUCGGCCUGCGCGGAAGAUGUAACGGGGCUAAACCAUGCACCGAAGCUGCGGCAGCGACACUAUGUGUUGUUGGGUAGGGGAGCGUUCUGUAAGCC
This 869-nucleotide ribosomal RNA is filed under the name Escherichia coli. RNAcentral describes it as "partial 23S ribosomal RNA". It matches the Rfam family "Bacterial large subunit ribosomal RNA", at positions 375 to 1249 of the family's 2925-position model. Lineage: Bacteria; Pseudomonadati; Pseudomonadota; Gammaproteobacteria; Enterobacterales; Enterobacteriaceae. The record is from RNAcentral.